Molecule: ribosomal RNA, 301 nt
Filed under: uncultured bacterium
Lineage: Bacteria
Description: partial 16S ribosomal RNA
Rfam family: Bacterial small subunit ribosomal RNA
Source: RNAcentral
CAGCCGCCGCGGUAACACGAAGGGUGCAAGCGUUAAUCGGAAUUACUGGGCGUAAAGCGUGCGUAGGCGGUUUGUUAAGUCUGUUGUGAAAUCCCCGGGCUCAACCUGGGAAUGGCAAUGGAUACUGGCAAGCUAGAGUGUGUCAGAGGAUGGUGGAAUUCCCGGUGUAGCGGUGAAAUGCGUAGAGAUCGGGAGGAACAUCAGUGGCGAAGGCGGCCAUCUGGGACAACACUGACGCUGAGGCACGAAAGCGUGGGGAGCAAACAGGAUUAGAUACCCCCGUAGUCCCUGUCUCUUAUAA